This 460-nucleotide ribosomal RNA is filed under the name uncultured bacterium. RNAcentral's name for it is "partial 16S ribosomal RNA". It matches the Rfam family "Bacterial small subunit ribosomal RNA", at positions 339 to 795 of the family's 1533-position model. The record is from RNAcentral.
CUACGGGCCGCACCAGUGAGGAAUAUUGGUCAAUGGGCGAGAGCCUGAACCAGCCAUCCCGCGUGCAGGAUGACGGCCCUAUGGGUUGUAAACUGCUCUUCCAUACCAAGAAACCUGAUUACGUGUAAUUAGUUGCCGGUAGUAUGGGAAUAAGCAUCGGCUAACUCCGUGCCAGCAGCCGCGGUAAUACGGAGGAUGCAAGCGUUAUCCGGAUUCAUUGGGUUUAAAGGGUGCGCAGGUGGGCUUGUAAGUCAGUGGUGAAAUGUUGCCGCUUAACGGUAAAAUUGCCAUUGAUACUUGCAAGUCUUGAAUAUAGUUGAGGUAGGCGGAAUGUGUUGUGUAGCGGUGAAAUGCAUAGAUAUGACACAGAACACCGAUUGCGAAGGCAGCUUACUAAGCUAUUAUUGACGCUGAGGCACGAAAGCGUGGGGAUCGAACAGGAUUAGAUACCCGCGUAGUC